AAAAAUGUCGAUGAAUAAUCGAUAGGGCGGUCAGCUGUGACACACUAAAGUGAGGUCUUACUAGAUGUAGCAAGAAGUAGCUGGAAUAUACCAGACUGGAUGCAACCCUUGUUAGCUGCACCCGAUAAAUUUGGUAUAAUUCGGUUAUCGGAGAAAAAGUGUUGUUCAGCUGAUCGUGGUUUCCGCCGAUGGGCUACGCCUCGACUAAUGUUUCCGGUUUGCCUUCUUUUCGAUCUGAACAGUCAACGCGUCGAGUGGCGAAAGUGCAUCGGAAAAAUUUGAACUUGCGGUUAUACGGAAUCUUUUGUCGCGCGAAAUAGCGAAAAUACGGCGUUCCUUCGCCUAUAGUGGUGCGCGAAAUAAUUCCGGCGUGUGUUUCCCGGCGAUAUUCAGCCGAAGAGAUCGGCGUUCGUCACGGCCAUCCCACGGCCGCCUUGCCGCCAAAUCCUAGCUUCGACUGGGACAAAUUGCAGCCGAAAUUGAAGACCGGAGGGUUUUCGCUGGACAUCUAAUACGUUCGCAUCACUGCCCGGGUCCCACGAUUUUACGAAGCCGCCACCGGCGGGCAGAAGGAGAGACGGCAACUGCGCCAGGCCGAGGAGUGGAUCGCCUUUCCAGCAAGCCGGAGCGAAGGACCAGCCGCAGCAGCAGGACAGCGACCGCCCUAAGCCGGGGCCACCAGGAGAGAUAUUUAAACUAAUCAAAAUGCAGCCUAAGUAGACAUUAAAGUGAGGUUAGAGUGAAUGGAAAAUUUUUAUUGCUUGAUUGACUGUCCAGAAUGCCCAAAAUUAAAUUAAAUCAAUGUUAAA
Molecule: long non-coding RNA, 809 nt
Organism: Drosophila sechellia
Lineage: Eukaryota; Metazoa; Arthropoda; Insecta; Diptera; Drosophilidae
Exons: 2
Source: RefSeq, a predicted model, not a curated record